RNAcentral lists this RNase P RNA (370 nucleotides) under Candidatus Krumholzibacteriia bacterium. RNAcentral's name for it is "RNase P RNA component class A". It matches the Rfam family "Bacterial RNase P class A". From Rfam's summary of the family: Ribonuclease P (RNase P) is a ubiquitous endoribonuclease, found in archaea, bacteria and eukarya as well as chloroplasts and mitochondria. Its best characterised activity is the generation of mature 5'-ends of tRNAs by cleaving the 5'-leader elements of precursor-tRNAs. Lineage: Bacteria; Candidatus Krumholzibacteriota; Candidatus Krumholzibacteriia. The record is from RNAcentral.
AGAAGUCGGGGAGACAGUCGCGGGUCUCCCAACCUCCGGUUGGGAGGUUCGAGGAAAGUCCGAGCUCCACAGGGCAGGGUGCUGGUUAACGACCAGGGGGAGUGAUCCCACGGAAAGUGCCACAGAAAAGAUACCGCCGGGCAUUUCCGGCAAGGGUGAAAUGGUGAGGUAAGAGCUCACCGCGCCUCCGGUGACGGAGGUGGCAGGGUAAACCCCACCCGGAGCAAGACCAAAUAGGGGAGGAUGAGGUGGCCCGCCUCGUUCGCACUCCCGGGUAGGUCGCUCGAGGCCGUCGGCAACGCCGGUCCCAGAUACAUGACUGUCACCGUUUCGGCGGUAACAGAACUCGGCUUACGACCGGCUUCUCACG